Equus asinus (donkey) is the source of this 514-nucleotide long non-coding RNA. The record is from Ensembl. NCBI's taxonomy places the organism in Eukaryota, Metazoa, Chordata, Mammalia, Perissodactyla, Equidae.
CCUGCCUUUAAAGUUGAGUAGGGGAGUGGAACUAGUUAUCACGGUUGAGGAGGACUCAUUAUGAAGCCAUCCCAUCUUGGAGCUCCAUGCCCUAGAAAUAAAGUGUUCCAGAAUAUGUCCUGAGCAUUGUUCAAACUGACAAGGAACUGGAAACGAAGUAACUGCCCUUCAACAGAGGAGUCAUUGAGUGAUGGGAGUGGACGUGCUGCCUAUGAGCCUCCUCUGGACCCCCGUCCAGCUGCCUUCUCCUUUCCUUCCGCUCUGCGUCUGUACCUGGAAACUUUUGGAUAUUUAUGGAGCAGUCUUUAAUUGUCUUGAUGAUUGGAGAAUAUACUGCAUCUGAUGCUGGGUGGGCUGGUAUCCAGCACAUACGUUGAACAAUGCAGCAUGAUGAUCCAGAUGACAUUUUGACAUCCAAUCUGCCCUUGACCUCAUCCCACCCCAGAAUUUCCAUUUUACUCCACAUGGCAUGCAACAAAACCCAAUGGGAGAAUCAGGAAGAAGCCAUUCAGAG